CGCUUCUCGCACAGCUUCCCGACCCGUCUGCUGAGCCCCAUGGCCCGCGCCACGCUCUCCACCGCCCCCAGCAAUCCCCGGCUCCUGCGGGUGGCGCUGCUGCUCCUGCUCCUGGUGGCCGCCGGCCGGCGCGCAGCAGGAGCGUCCGUGGUCACUGAACUGCGCUGCCAGUGCUUGCAGACCCUGCAGGGAAUUCACCUCAAGAACAUCCAAAGUGUGAAUGUGAAGUCCCCAGGACCCCACUGCGCCCAAACCGAAGUCAUAGCCACACUCAAGAAUGGGAAGAAAGCUUGUCUCAACCCGGCAUCCCCCAUGGUUCAGAAAAUCAUCGAAAAGAUACUGAACAAGUGAGUUGUAAUUUCCAUAUACACGGGCGACUGGAGCCGUUGGUCAGAAAUACUGGCAUCUGCCCCCUAAAAAUAAAAUCAGGGAACCCCAAGAGUUAGCUGAAGGACUAGAAAUUGUGAUUAUUAUUUUCACAAUUAAAGUUGCCAUUAAGGUUAUUAAUCUGCUCUGGUGCCAGAGGAUAUUUCAGUAUUUUAGUGUCUUCCAUUUCCAGGCCUAACCCCUGGGAGGGUAAAUGUGGGUUUCUAGAAUACUAAGUAAAUUUGACUAACAAUGCCAAAAUGCCCCCUGCCUGUUUUGGGACGUUUACCUCAGUCCCUAAUGGGCUUCAGACCUGAAAAAUGCAAUGUCUGGUUUGGGCACUUUGGGCCUGUAAGCCUUCUUGGUGAAGAGCAGAAACUUUGCAGUGACACCUUCAGUGAGUUCAAGGCUAGGAUCC
RNAcentral lists this small RNA (784 nucleotides) under Pan troglodytes (chimpanzee). Its description in RNAcentral is "processed transcript". The record is from RNAcentral. Lineage: Eukaryota; Metazoa; Chordata; Mammalia; Primates; Hominidae.